Molecule: ribosomal RNA, 497 nt
Filed under: uncultured bacterium
Lineage: Bacteria
Description: partial 16S ribosomal RNA
Rfam family: Bacterial small subunit ribosomal RNA
Source: RNAcentral
GAUGAACGCUGGCGGCGUGCCUAAUACAUGCAAGUCGAGCGAACAGACGAGGAGCUUGCUCCUCUGACGUUAGCGGCGGACGGGUGAGUAACACGUGGAUAACCUACCUAUCAGACUGGGAUAACUUCGGGAAACCGGAGCUAAUACCGGAUAAUAUAUUGAACCGCAUGGUUCAAUGGUGAAAGACGGUUUUGCUGUCACUUAUAGAUGGAUCCGCGCCGCAUUAGCUAGUUGGUAAGGUAACGGCUUACCAAGGCGACGAUGCGUAGCCGACCUGAGAGGGUGAUCGGCCACACGGGAGCUGGGACACGGUCCAGACUCCUACGGGAGGCAGCAGUAGGGAAUCUUCCGCAGUGGGCGAAAGCCUGACGGAGCAACGCCGCGUGAGUGAUGAAGGUCUUCGGAUCGUAAAACUCUGUUAUUAGGGAAGAACAAAUGUGUAAGUAACUAUGCACGUCUUGACGGUACCUAAUCAGAAAGCCACGGCUAACUACGUG